This 852-nucleotide long non-coding RNA is filed under the name Nicotiana benthamiana. RNAcentral's name for it is "long non-coding RNA (NBEN_LNC008837)". Lineage: Eukaryota; Viridiplantae; Streptophyta; Magnoliopsida; Solanales; Solanaceae. The record is from RNAcentral.
CAGAGUGGAAAGAUAGAGGAGAACAUAUUAUUUGGUAAAGAGAUGCAGAGGGAGAAGUAUGAUAAAGUUCUUGAAGCGUGCUCCUUAAAGAAAGACCUGGAAAUUCUCUCUUUUGGUGAUCAAACAGAAAUAGGGGAGCGGGGCAUUAAUUUGAGCGGUGGACAGAAGCAGAGAAUACAGAUUGCUCGUGCUCUUUACCAAGAUGCUGAUGUUUACCUAUUUGAUGAUCCGUUCAGUGCUGUAGAUGCUCAUACCGGAUCCCAUCUCUUCAAUGUAAGUCAUUUCAUAUAUAUGCUUUAUUUUCAUGCUUGAUAAGUAUAUUUUUAAACUCAGUGGAACGAAAGCUUAUGUUGCACAGUCGCCCUGGAUACAGAGUGGAAAGAUAGAGGAGAACAUAUUAUUUGGUAAAGAGAUGCAGAGGGAGAAGUAUGAUAAAGUUCUUGAAGCGUGCUCCUUAAAGAAAGACCUGGAAAUUCUCUCUUUUGGUGAUCAAACAGAAAUAGGGGAGCGGGGCAUUAAUUUGAGCGGUGGACAGAAGCAGAGAAUACAGAUUGCUCGUGCUCUUUACCAAGAUGCUGAUGUUUACCUAUUUGAUGAUCCGUUCAGUGCUGUAGAUGCUCAUACCGGAUCCCAUCUCUUCAAUGUAAGUCAUUUCAUAUAUAUGCUUGUUUGAUGAUCCGUUCAGUGCUGUGGAUGCUCAUACCGGAUCCCAUCUCUUCAAUGUAAGUCCUUUCAUAUAUAUGCUUUAUUUUAAUACUUGAUAUAUUUUACCUAGCCACUUGAUUGACCCAUCCUUUAAUUGCAGGAAUGUAUAAUGGGGCUAUUGAAUUCAAAAACAGUUUUAUAUGUUAC